This 331-nucleotide ribosomal RNA is filed under the name uncultured eukaryote. RNAcentral's name for it is "partial 18S ribosomal RNA". It matches the Rfam family "Eukaryotic small subunit ribosomal RNA", at positions 1470 to 1796 of the family's 1831-position model. The record is from RNAcentral.
CCCUUAGAUGUUCUGGGCCGCACACGCGCUACACUGUUCGACGCAGCGAGUCUUAACCUUGACCGAAAGGUUUGGGUAAUCUUCAGCAAAGUCGAACGUGAUGGGGAUCGAUCAUUGCAAUUAUUGAUCGUGAACGAGGAAUUCCUAGUAAGUGCAAGUCAUCAGCUUGCGCUGAUUACGUCCCUGCCCUUUGUACACACCGCCCGUCGCUACUACCGAUUGAAUGGUUUAGUGAGAUCUCUGGAUUGACGCUGGCUAGGGGGCGACCCUUGGCCAGACUGUUGAGAAACUGCUCAAACUUGAUCAUUUAGAGGAAGUAAAAGUCGUAACA